UUUAGACCACCAGGUAACUAAGAAAUACAACAACAACAAAAAGCCCGUUCAUAUCUUCUUCAGAAAAUAAAACAGAGCUUUCAGUUACAGAGUGACAGGAUUUGGCACUAUGCUAUCAUGGGUGGCAGGGAGUCCUCUCCAAGGAGAUUUGGAUGGACAUGAAUGGAGGUGCUAAGAUUUGGGACAGAAAGAAGAAAUGGCUAGCCAUCACCUGCUUCAACUUCAGGUCCUUGUACCUCAGGGGCAGCAAUUUUGAGGACAGAGCAACGUCAAACCUGUUUAAAGAGGGUGCUUCUUCCUGAUGACCACCUCCCAACCCUCUCCCAGAGUCAUGGGCCAGAAACUCCUGGGGACAAAGUCACGUGGUUCCAGAGGAUCAGAUGGUUCCCUGGAUGGGAGGACAGUGUAUGUGGCCAACCAGUAGCCAACUAUUUGUACAGAUCAAGGCUGCUGAGAUGUGAAGUAGAAACACGGCAGGGGAAAACAGGCCGUGUCUCUGGAAGAGAGAUGGCUCCGUGAUGAGCAGACCCACGUGAUGAGCUCCCCUCUGUCCAUGAGGGGACAUGAGGACAGAGGGGAGCGCUAGUAGGGUGUCU
Molecule: non-coding RNA, 596 nt
Organism: Odocoileus virginianus texanus
Lineage: Eukaryota; Metazoa; Chordata; Mammalia; Artiodactyla; Cervidae
Source: RefSeq, a predicted model, not a curated record